Tetranychus urticae (two-spotted spider mite) is the source of this 1265-nucleotide long non-coding RNA. RefSeq lists it as uncharacterized. The record is from RefSeq and is a predicted model, not a curated record. Lineage: Eukaryota; Metazoa; Arthropoda; Arachnida; Trombidiformes; Tetranychidae.
AUGAUGAUGAUAAUAUUGAUGAUGCAAAUGCAAAUGAUUAUUAUUUAUGUUCAACCAAUAGCUGAUAACCUUUAAUUGAUUGUUAUCAUUAAAUCUUGGUACCAAUUGAAGUCGAAAUCAAUUGAAAAAGGAUUCUGGAUUCUUAUAUGCAACGGAUAAUCUGUUUUUAAACGUUAUACGAUAAAAUCAUUGGCCAUAUUAUUAAUUCGCAUCAUUGCUCAUCUUGAUCUGAAUCAAAAGAGGAUUACAUUGCCUUGAUUGUGGACAAAUAAUGUUUACUAAUGACCCUUAAAAAGUAAAAUUUUGCGAAUCAAAAAGAAGCCAAAAUUGAGAAAUCAAAUAAUCGAAUGAUUAUUAUAAUAAUAAAACGAAGGAUCAAAAACUGGUUGACCUUUAAUCGCAUCAUGAUCAUCUUAGAUUAUAAUUUGGACCUGUUAUUACUUAUUGAUGGUGCUAACCAUUUUGCAGUUCAUAAACUCGAGGUCAAACCUUUCUCGAUUUUUAUUGUUCUUGGAUGUGAUUAAUAUCAUCGCUGUUAUGUCAAACAUUUUGCAUAAAUAGCAGGUAUAAUUUGUUUGAUUUUUUUCAUCUACUCGAAGGCCGAUUUAUUUGGUGAGUGUUUACGAAAGCGUUGGCAUUGUUGGUCAUGAUUCGGAAUUGGUAUUAAAUAUUGCAAUAAUGAGAAACCAACUUUGGCUGGAACAAUUGAUUUCAUUUUAAAUCGACAAUCCUAUUGGUCUCAAAGAUUGUCCACUGAUCAUUGUUUUAUUGGUUAAGGAAAAGUAUAACUCGAGACAAUUAAUAUUCAAUUCACUUCGAAUGGAAGUCCAAGUAUUGGUUUACAAAUUACUCGACACCUGAUUCAUGUUUACAAGGUUGUGGUCAGAUGACUUUCAAAUUGUAUUGGAUGGCAUCGAUAAUCAUGUCCCCGGAUAACCCUGGAGUUACUGUAAUUUUAAUCUUGAUUUAUCCCGAUAAGUUUACUAUCAAUGAUUGAUUGUAAAUUAUCAGGGCAGCUCUUUAAUUGCCAGAAUUGUAACCUUUACCUAAAGUGUGAUCAAGACAGCAGUAUGUUGUUCUUGCCAUUAGAUUAAGUUACCAAAGGAGUGUCAAAAGUGUUAUUUUUGUUCAUCUCUAAUCCCUGAAUCCAUCAUGCAAAUUCUGUCGUGAUAUUAUCAGAUUUCAAUCAUCAUAAUGUUCAACUGGAAACCAGCAUUCUAAACGUUGAAUCAAAAAUAUAACUGACAGCCGCGGUCUCAUCUUUA